UACGAAGGGGGCUAGCGUUGCUCGGAAUCACUGGGCGUAAAGCGCACGUAGGCGGCUUCCUAAGUCAGGGGUGAAAUCCUGGAGCUCAACUCCAGAACUGCCCUUGAUACUGAGGAGCUCGAGUCCGGGAGAGGUGAGUGGAACUGCGAGUGUAGAGGUGAAAUUCGUAGAUAUUCGCAAGAACACCAGUGGCGAAGGCGGCUCACUGGCCCGGUACUGACGCUGAGGUGCGAAAGCGUGGGGAGCAAACAGGAUUAGAAACCCCCGUAGUCC
RNAcentral lists this ribosomal RNA (273 nucleotides) under uncultured bacterium. RNAcentral describes it as "partial 16S ribosomal RNA". It matches the Rfam family "Bacterial small subunit ribosomal RNA", at positions 524 to 796 of the family's 1533-position model. The record is from RNAcentral.